Cucumis melo (muskmelon) is the source of this 747-nucleotide long non-coding RNA. RefSeq lists it as uncharacterized. The record is from RefSeq and is a predicted model, not a curated record. NCBI's taxonomy places the organism in Eukaryota, Viridiplantae, Streptophyta, Magnoliopsida, Cucurbitales, Cucurbitaceae. The transcript has 5 exons.
UCCCGACUCGCUUCCAACCGUCGGCAGCCUCUCCGUUCUCAUCUCUUGUUUCCGACGCCGGCAGAACACAGAGGGGAGCGCCGUCGCCGCCAUCACCGUGUUGAAGUUGUCCGUCGUCGCGCGCAGCCAAGGUGGUCGUGAAACCAGACCCGAGCCACGGAUCCGAUUCGAGCAACCCGACCCGAGCCACGGAUCCGAUUCGAGUGAGCCGAGCCGAGCGAGCCGAGCAAGCCGCGAGCCGAGCGAGCCGAGCCGCCAGCCGAACCAAGCCGAGCCGCGACCGAGUGAGCCGAGCCGCGAGCCGAACCAAGCCGAGCCGCGAGCCGAGUGAGCCGAGCCGCCAGCCGAACCAAGCCGAGCCACGAGCCGAGUGAGCCGAGCCGCGAGCCGAACCAAGCCGAGCCGUGAGCCGAGCCACGAGCCGAACCAAGCCGAGCCGCAAGCCGAGUGAGCCGAGCCGCGAGCCGAACCAAGCCGAGCCGAGCCGAGCUGAGCCGAGCCGAGCUGAGCCGAGCCGAGCCGAGCCACCUAAGCCUUCUUUCCUCCACUUCGGUUCACGGUAGUACAGAGUUGACGCUUAAGUUCUCGGGUUCCGCGGCAGGCCUGGUUGGAGAUAGUUUCCUUUCCUUGGGUGGAUCUGUUGAGCGUAGAUUUCGAUCGAGGGGCAUAACCGAAUUUCAGGUAGGGGUACAGCGAGGGGCAGACCGACGAGAGGCAGGAAGGAUGCGUGAAGGCCAUAUGGACGCG